UACGGAGGAUCCAAGCGUUAUCCGGAAUCAUUGGGCUUAAAGGGUCCGUAGGCGGUUUUGUAAGUCAGUGGUGAAAGCCCAUCGCUCAACGGUGGAACGGCCAUUGAUACUGCAAGACUUGAAUUAUUGGGAAGUAACUAGAAUAUGUAGUGUAGCGGUGAAAUGCUUAGAGAUUACAUGGAAUACCAAUUGCGAAGGCAGGUUACUACCAAUAUAUUGACGCUGAUGGACGAAAGCGUGGGGAGCGAACAGG
This 253-nucleotide ribosomal RNA is filed under the name uncultured bacterium. RNAcentral's name for it is "partial 16S ribosomal RNA". It matches the Rfam family "Bacterial small subunit ribosomal RNA", at positions 524 to 776 of the family's 1533-position model. The record is from RNAcentral.